RNAcentral lists this ribosomal RNA (292 nucleotides) under uncultured bacterium. RNAcentral's name for it is "partial 16S ribosomal RNA". It matches the Rfam family "Bacterial small subunit ribosomal RNA", at positions 505 to 796 of the family's 1533-position model. The record is from RNAcentral.
GUGUCAGCCGCCGCGGUAAUACAGAGGGGGCAAGCGUUAUUCGGAAUUAUUGGGCGUAAAGGGCGCGUAGGCGGCUGCGCAAGUCUCGGGUGAAAUCCCUCGGCUCAACCGAGGAACUGCCCUGGAAACUGCGCGGCUCGAGGCCGGGAGAGGAUGGUGGAAUUCCCAGUGUAGCGGUGAAAUGCGUAGAUAUUGGGAGGAACACCGGUGGCGAAGGCGGCCAUCUGGACCGGUCCUGACGCUGAGGCGCGAAAGCGUGGGGAGCAAACAGGAUUAGAAACCCUAGUAGUCC